UGGGAUAUCGCAAAGCGGUAAGGAAUAGCACAUUGACUGCUACAUGAGUAGGUUCGAAUCCUGCUAUCCCAGCCA
RNAcentral lists this transfer RNA (75 nucleotides) under Clostridium botulinum. RNAcentral describes it as "tRNA-Gln". It matches the Rfam family "tRNA". Rfam says of the family: Transfer RNA (tRNA) molecules are approximately 80 nucleotides in length. Their secondary structure includes four short double-helical elements and three loops (D, anti-codon, and T loops). The record is from RNAcentral. Lineage: Bacteria; Bacillati; Bacillota; Clostridia; Eubacteriales; Clostridiaceae.